GUGGGGAAUCUUGCGCAAUGGGCGAAAGCCUGACGCAGCCAUGCCGCGUGGAUGAUGAAGGUCUUAGGAUUGUAAAAUCCUUUCACCGGUGAAGAUAAUGACUGUAGCCGGAGAAGAAGCCCCGGCUAACUUCGUGCCAGCAGCCGCGGGAAUACGAAGGGGGCUAGCGUUGCUCGGAUUUACUGGGCGUAAAGGGCGCGUAGGCGGACAUUUAAGUCAGGGGUGAAAUCCCGGGGCUCAACCUCGGAACUGCCUUUGAUACUGGGUGUCUUGAGUAUGAGAGAGGUGUGUGGAACUCCGAGUGUAGAGGUGAAAUUCGUAGAUAGUCGGAAGAACACCAGUGGCGAAGGCGACACACUGGCUCAUUACUGACGCUGAGGCGCGAAAGCGUGGGGAGCAAACAGGAUUAGAUACCCCUGUAGUCC
RNAcentral lists this ribosomal RNA (425 nucleotides) under uncultured bacterium. Its description in RNAcentral is "partial 16S ribosomal RNA". It matches the Rfam family "Bacterial small subunit ribosomal RNA", at positions 354 to 796 of the family's 1533-position model. The record is from RNAcentral.